UUUGGCUCAGGACGAACGCUGGCGGCGUGCCUAACACAUGCUAGUCGAACGGAGUAAAGCCCUUCGGGACUUUACUUAGUGGCGAACGGGUGAGUAACGCGUGAGGAACCUGCCUUUCAGUGGGGGACAACAGUUGGAAACGACUGCUAAUACCGCAUGACGCUUCUUGGGGGCAUCCCUGAGAAGUCAAAGAUUUAUUGCUGAAAGAUGGCCUCGCGUCUGAUUAGCUAGUUGGCGGGGUAACGGCCCACCAAGGCGACGAUCAGUAGCCGGUCUGAGAGGAUGAACGGCCACAUUGGGACUGAGAUACGGCCCAGACUCCUACGGGAGGCAGCAGUGGGGAAUAUUGGGCAAUGGGGGAAACCCUGACCCAGCAACGCCGCGUGAAGGAAGAAGGCCUUCGGGUUGUAAACUUCUUUUAGCAGGGACGAAGGACGUGGCGGUACCUGCAGAAAAAGCAACGGCUAACUACGUGCCAGCAGCCGCGGUAAUACGUAGGUUGCAAGCGUUGUCCGGAAUUACUGGGUGUAAAGGGCGUGUAGGCGGAGCUGCAAGUCAGAUGUGAAAUCCCGGGGCUCAACCCCGGAACUGCAUUUGAAACUGUAGCCCUUGAGUAUCGGAGAGGCAAGCGGAAUUCCUAGUGUAGCGGUGAAAUGCGUAGAUAUUAGGAGGAACACCAGUGGCGAAGGCGGCUUGCUGGACGACAACUGACGCUGAGGCGCGAAAGCGAGGGGAGCAAACAGGAUUAGAUACCCUGGUAGUCCACGCUGUAAACGAUGAAUACUAGGUGUGGGAGGACUGACC
RNAcentral lists this ribosomal RNA (804 nucleotides) under uncultured bacterium. Its description in RNAcentral is "bacterial SSU rRNA". It matches the Rfam family "Bacterial small subunit ribosomal RNA", at positions 18 to 837 of the family's 1533-position model. The record is from RNAcentral.